This 468-nucleotide ribosomal RNA is filed under the name uncultured bacterium. RNAcentral's name for it is "partial 16S ribosomal RNA". It matches the Rfam family "Bacterial small subunit ribosomal RNA", at positions 28 to 507 of the family's 1533-position model. The record is from RNAcentral.
GACGAACGCUGGCGGCGUGCUUAACACAUGCGAGUCGAACGGAAAGGCCCUGCUUUUGUGGGGUGCUCGAGUGGCGAACGGGUGAGUAACACGUGAGUAACCUGCCCUUGACUUUGGGAUAACUUCAGGAAACUGGGGCUAAUACCGGAUAGGAGCUCCUGCUGCAUGGUGGGGGUUGGAAAGUUUCGGCGGUUGGGGAUGGACUCGCGGCUUAUCAGCUUGUUGGUGGGGUAGUGGCUUACCAAGGCUUUGACGGGUAGCCGGCCUGAGAGGGUGACCGGCCACAUUGGGACUGCGAUACUGCCCAGACUCCUACGGGAGGCAGCAGUGGGGAAUAUUGCACAAUGGGCGGAAGCCUGAUGCAGCAACGCCGCGUGCGGGAUGACGGCCUUCGGGUUGUGAACCGCUUUCGCCUGUGACGAAGCGUGAGUGACGGUAAUGGGUAAAGAAGCACCGGCUAACUACGUG